Molecule: long non-coding RNA, 807 nt
Organism: Dalotia coriaria
Lineage: Eukaryota; Metazoa; Arthropoda; Insecta; Coleoptera; Staphylinidae
Exons: 15
Source: RefSeq, a predicted model, not a curated record
GGAUUUUGCAUAUGAGUCAGAAAUCGUAGAAGGACCGUUCUUGCGUCAGAAUGAUUUUGCACCUGAGUCUGACAUCGUAGAAGGACCAUUCUUACAUCAGAAUGAUUUUGCAUAUGAGUCAGAAAUCGUAGAAGGACCGUUCUCGCGUCAGAAUGGAUUUUGGAUAUGAGUCAGAAAUCGUAGAAGGACCAUUUUUGCGUCAGAAUGGAUUUUGCAUAUAAGUCAGAAAUCCUAGAAGGACCGUUCUUGUAUCAGAAUGGAUUUUGCACCUGAGUCUGACAUCGUAGAAGGACUAUUCUUGUGUUAGAUUGGAUUUUGCACCUGAGUCUGACAUCGUAGAAGGACCAUUCUAGUGUCAGAUUGGAUUUUGCACCUGAGUCUGACAUCGUAGAAGGACCAUUCUAGUGUCAGAUUGGAUUUUGCACCUGAGUCUGACAUCGUAGAAGGACCAUUCUAGUGUCAGAUUGGAUUCUGCACCUGAGUCUGACAUCGUAGAAGGACUAUUCUUGUGUUAGAUUGGAUUUUGCACCUGAGUCUGACAUCGUAGAAGGACUAUUCUUGUGUUAGAUUGGAUUUUGCACCUGAGUCUGACAUCGUAGAAGGACUAUUCUUGUGUUAGAUUGGAUUUUGCACCUGAGUCUGACAUCGUAGAUGGACCAUUCUUGCAUCAGAUUGGAUUUUGCACCUGAGUCUGACAUCGUAGAAGGACCAUUCUGGUAUCAGAUUGGAUUUUGCACCUGAGUCUGACAUCGUAGAAGGACCAUUCUGGUAUCAGAUUGUAAGUAAUUAAUUUCUUUAUCAUUUUCC